RNAcentral lists this ribosomal RNA (183 nucleotides) under Acremonium sp. CCF3791. Its description in RNAcentral is "5.8S ribosomal RNA". The stretch from base 1 to 114 matches the Rfam family "5.8S ribosomal RNA", at positions 41 to 154 of the family's 154-position model. Rfam says of the family: 5.8S ribosomal RNA (5.8S rRNA) is a component of the large subunit of the eukaryotic ribosome. Lineage: Eukaryota; Fungi; Ascomycota; Sordariomycetes; Hypocreales; Bionectriaceae. The record is from RNAcentral.
GAACGCAGCGAAAUGCGAUAAGUAAUGUGAAUUGCAGAAUUCAGUGAAUCAUCGAAUCUUUGAACGCACAUUGCGCCCGCCAGUAUUCUGGCGGGCAUGCCUGUUCGAGCGUCAUUUCAACCCUCAAGCCCCCGGGCUUGGUGCUGGGGAUCGGCCGUCACGGGCCGGCCCCGAAAUCGAGUG